GGGUCAUUAGCUCAGGUGGUAGAGCACUUGACUUUUAAUCAAGUUGUCCCGCGUUCGAAUCGCGGAUGGCUCACCA
This 76-nucleotide transfer RNA is filed under the name Clostridia bacterium. RNAcentral describes it as "tRNA-Lys". It matches the Rfam family "tRNA". Rfam says of the family: Transfer RNA (tRNA) molecules are approximately 80 nucleotides in length. Their secondary structure includes four short double-helical elements and three loops (D, anti-codon, and T loops). Further hydrogen bonds mediate the characteristic L-shaped molecular structure. tRNAs have two regions of fundamental functional importance: the anti-codon, which is responsible for specific mRNA codon recognition, and the 3' end, to which the tRNAs corresponding amino acid is attached (by aminoacyl-tRNA synthetases). tRNAs cope with the degeneracy of the genetic code in two manners: having more than one tRNA (with a specific anti-codon) for a particular amino acid; and 'wobble' base-pairing, i.e. permitting non-standard base-pairing at the 3rd anti-codon position. Lineage: Bacteria; Bacillati; Bacillota; Clostridia. The record is from RNAcentral.